GAUGAACGCUGGCGGCGUGCCUAAUACAUGCAAGUCGAGCGAACGGACGAGAAGCUUGCUUCUCUGAUGUUAGCGGCGGACGGGUGAGUAACACGUGGAUAACCUACCUAUAAGACUGGGAUAACUUCGGGAAACCGGAGCUAAUACCGGAUAAUAUUUUGAACCGCAUGGUUCAAAAGUGAAAGACGGUCUUGCUGUCACUUAUAGAUGGAUCCGCACUGCAUUAGCUAGUUGGUAAGGUAACGGCUUACCAAGGCAACGAUGCAUAGCCGACCUGAGAGGGUGAUCGGACACACUGGAACUGAGACACGGUCCAGACUCCUACGGGAGGCAGCAGUAGGGAAUCUUCCGCAAUGGGCGAAAGCCUGACGGAGCAACGCCGCGUGAGUGAUGAAGGUCUUCGGAUCGUAAAACUCUGUUAUUAGGGAAGAACAUAUGUGUAAGUAACUGUGCACAUCUUGACGGUACCUAAUCAGAAAGCCACGGCUAACUACGUG
RNAcentral lists this ribosomal RNA (497 nucleotides) under uncultured bacterium. Its description in RNAcentral is "partial 16S ribosomal RNA". It matches the Rfam family "Bacterial small subunit ribosomal RNA", at positions 28 to 507 of the family's 1533-position model. The record is from RNAcentral.